GAUUUCUGGCGAACUGUAGCGGCCCGUGCUCGUAUCGGGCGUGUGUGCCGUGACAUGUUUGUCAUCCUUCCAGAGAGCUGCGUCUACCAUUCAUUUGGCCGGACGUACGCGAUCUGGAUCUAUUACUUUGAAAAAAUUAGAGUGUUUAAAGCAGGCAUUUUGCUCUGAAUACAUUAGCAUGGAAUAAUAAUUUAGGACUUCGGUUCUAUUUUGUUGGUUUCUAGGACUGAAGUAAUGAUUGAUAGGGAUAGUUGGGGGUGCUAGUAUUCAGCGGCCAGAGGUGAAAUUCUCGGAUUCGCUGAAGACUAACUUAUGCGAAAGCAUU
RNAcentral lists this ribosomal RNA (325 nucleotides) under uncultured Corythion. RNAcentral's name for it is "SSU rRNA". The stretch from base 108 to 325 matches the Rfam family "Eukaryotic small subunit ribosomal RNA", at positions 737 to 955 of the family's 1831-position model. The record is from RNAcentral. Lineage: Eukaryota; Cercozoa; Imbricatea; Euglyphida; Trinematidae.